GAAACUAGGACCUGCAGGGGCUGAGAUUGGAGUGAAACAGAUGUGAAGAGAAAAGUCCUGGGUCCAGGUGGUCCUGGGGCCCAGCCAUGCUCUUGUUUUUUGUUUGUUUGUUUGUUUGUUUGUUUUGUUGUGUUUGUGUGUGUGUGUGUGUGUGUGUGUGUGUGUGUGUGCUUUUAAUAGAAUUUCCCUCCUCCUGCCUGUGGCUAAUUCCUUCUGCACCCUUGGUUCAGCCCCACCUGGCGACCCUUGUUCCAUCACUUCCACCACUUCUCUAGAAUCUUCAGUCAUUUCAGCGACACAUAUGCUCAUCUUCCUGCCCAAAAACUGAAUAAGCAAAGACUUUCUUUCAUCUCUGUCCCUCUUCAACUUCUGCCCUUCCCUUCUACUCACUAUCCCUAUUUUCUCACCUCCUACUUCAUGCCCAAUCUGCUGCUGCUAUCUUGCUCUAUUUCUUCUUCCCAUUUUCUUGAUGCUGCUUUCCUGACAGGCAGUGCCUUGCAGAGUACGUCCAAUUUCUCAUGUUUAUGUUGCUUGUCUGCAGCAUCUGGUAUCAGUAACCACCUCCUCUUUCUCAAAACUCCCACCAUGCUUGAUGGUUUUCCUGCGAUUCUUGACCUGAUGCAGAAAAGCUUGACCUGCAGAAGCUGUCCUAGAAACAGUCAGGAUCUAAAGUUCUAGACUUUUCCAACCUGCCUCUCAUUGCCAUAAAAAUGCAACUGACCUGUGUCUCCUCUCCUGGUGCACCACUAAGGGAUGGCUGACUGAUCUAAUGAGAUUACUGGAACUAAGGCAUUCACAGCACGAAGAGGAGAGACUCAGAAACGUAAGACCUAAGUCCUGCCCUCAAAAACCCACAGGCUCAUUGGAAAAACAGCACAGGAACACUUAAGAAAUGAAAUUCAAGCAUGAAGUAACAACGUGAGAAAUGUACCUGGCCCGUGGAUCCACUUGAAUUCUUUACCACCUGGUGUUGAGCCCUGUGAAGUGCUAUGAAAACUAGCACAGCCUCACUUGGGACUGAAAGAAAAUAAAUCACAGGCAGGAUUUUAAACGAACAUAGAAAACACAGCACAAGCAAUCCUAGCUGUCUGGGCUGCUGAAUCCUGCAACCUUCAACUAUGGCGUGGAGACAAUGGGGCAGAGGGAUGCUCGUUUCCCAGGUUGCUGAUUGUUGGGAAACGAUUCUGUGAACUUCACAUAAGCAGAUUUUGUUCAGAAUAAUAACAACAAAAAACAUUGAGAAAUGGAAGCAGAACAUGAAUAGGAAAAUAAUGGUUAGAUGACCUCACAGGAAUGCAUACCCAAUGGUAUGGCUCACGUGCAGAGAGGCGGCACUCGAUUUUGACUCUAAGUUACCUAGCAGCAUAAGCAAUGAGGAAAAUAGUUGCCAGAGCCUUCCUGUCCACAGGACAAAAACAAACCCCUCAUUCAGAAGAAGCACAGCUUUUUCAGACGCUGAAACCUUGUAUAUUUUUUUCUGGGCCAGUCUCCUCAAGAGCAUCCUGCAGUGUUACAGUCAGGAAAUUUCAUGUUUAUGUCUUUGGACUCCACGCUGGUGAUUUCAGACCCACGGCAGCAGCAGCGGCAGCAUUCCCGGAGGGAAAGGAACCCAGAGGUAUCACUGACGCCCUGCUGGACGGAGGGGCUUCUGUGGCUGCUACCAUUACUGCCGCUUCCUCAGAACCAAACCCCAGAAUCAGAGGAGGAGCAGUGGCUUCCAAAACGAAAUGCCACCCGUGUGGUGCCACUGUGGGAGAUCUUGUUCCUGACACGUAGCUUCAGCCACCCCAUGGCCCAAGUCAACCCAACACACCCCAGGACAGGAAGGAUCCGGUCACCUGGGAGAAAGCCCUGAAUGAACCAAAGAAUAACCAAGGGAAGAAACAGCCCAGGUAUCUGUGAAGGAUUUACAGUAGAUACAGUGUCCCCUGACCAGGCCGUGAGGGAUUUGAAGCUGAGAAUUACACAGUCCCUGCUCUCAAGAGCUCACACUCUGUUGAGGAGACGGAGAAGAUAUUGGGUGAUUUCCACACACUUUGUGAAGUGCUGGCACAGGGGCUGGAGGGUCAAGGAGAAAUAUAGCAAACAGAUGUGAGACAGGGCCUGGGGAAGAUGCUGUGGGAGUAACCACAGGCUAGGAUGGAAGCCCCAAGAGUUUUGGCUGGUUCCAAUACGGUGAGAUUUUGUCUAGAGACAUUGCAUCAGAAAAUGCAUCAGACACUUUUGGCUGAUGCAAUUGGGUGUGUAGGUAAGGACCAAGGCAUCUAGUGGAAAGAGGCCAGAGAUCUUGCUAAACAUCUUACAGUGCACGGGACUGCCCCCAACAACAAAGAAUUAUCCAGCUUGGAAUGUCCAAAGUUGAGAACCCCUGCCCUGGAGUCGGGAGGAGCCCCUGAAGGUUCUAGGUGGGGCAGUGAAACAGUCAAAUGUGUUUUCAGAUGUCUUGUCAAUAUUAGAGAAAUUAGGAAACUGCUGUUUCUUUCAAGUGGAAUUUGUCUAAGGGAUGGCUGUUGGAGCCAGUGAGCUGAGGGUCUGGAGGGUGAGAAUUACACCCAAAGGAGCGUGGUGCCAUGGCAAGUCCUGAACCAGGCAUCAGUAGUCCUGGCCCGACUUCAGCUCCUCCAGCCACAGGCUGGGUGACCAUGGGCAGGCAUGACAACUCCCUGAGCCUCCCUUUCAUCAUCUACAAAAUAAAGCACAAGGAUAUAUACUGUGCUGGCCUUAUUCCUGGGUUACUGUGGUAUCAAAUACAAUCGUAUUUAUGAAAGAGAGUGAAAAAAAUGUAGAUGAAGGAUAUUAUUGUACUGUAAAGAACAUCUUUUAAACAAUUACACAACAAAUAUAGGCUAAUUAUAGUGAA
Cercocebus atys (sooty mangabey) is the source of this 2860-nucleotide long non-coding RNA. RefSeq lists it as uncharacterized. The transcript is spliced from 4 exons. Lineage: Eukaryota; Metazoa; Chordata; Mammalia; Primates; Cercopithecidae. The record is from RefSeq and is a predicted model, not a curated record.